This 803-nucleotide ribosomal RNA is filed under the name uncultured bacterium. Its description in RNAcentral is "bacterial SSU rRNA". It matches the Rfam family "Bacterial small subunit ribosomal RNA", at positions 8 to 811 of the family's 1533-position model. The record is from RNAcentral.
AGAGUUUGAUCCUGGCUCAGGAUGAACGCUGGCGGCGUGCUUAACACAUGCAAGUCGAACGAAGCGGUUUAGCGGAAGUUUUCGGAUGGAAGUUAAACUGACUGAGUGGCGGACGGGUGAGUAACGCGUGGGUAACCUGCCUCACACAGGGGGACAACAGCUAGAAAUGGCUGCUAAUACCGCAUAAGCGCACAGUUUCGCAUGAAGCAGUGUGAAAAACUCCGGUGGUGUGAGAUGGACCCGCGUCUGAUUAGCUGGUUGGUGAGGUAACGGCUCACCAAGGCGACGAUCAGUAGCCGACCUGAGAGGGUGACCGGCCACAUUGGGACUGAGACACGGCCCAAACUCCUACGGGAAGCAGCAGUGGGGAAUAUUGCACAAUGGGGGAAACCCUGAUGCAGCGACGCCGCGUGAGUGAAGAAGUAUUUCGGUAUGUAAAGCUCUAUCAGCAGGGAAGAGAAUGACGGUACCUGACUAAGAAGCCCCGGCUAACUACGUGCCAGCAGCCGCGGUAAUACGUAGGGGGCAAGCGUUAUCCGGAUUUACUGGGUGUAAAGGGAGCGUAGACGGCUUAGCAAGUCUGAAGUGAAAGCCCGGGGCUCAACCCCGGGACUGCUUUGGAAACUGUUAAGCUGGAGUGCUGGAGAGGUAAGCGGAAUUCCUAGUGUAGCGGUGAAAUGCGUAGAUAUUAGGAGGAACACCAGUGGCGAAGGCGGCUUACUGGACAGUAACUGACGUUGAGGCUCGAAAGCGUGGGGAGCAAACAGGAUUAGAUACCCUGGUAGUCCACGCCGUAAACGAUG